RNAcentral lists this ribosomal RNA (433 nucleotides) under uncultured bacterium. RNAcentral describes it as "partial 16S ribosomal RNA". It matches the Rfam family "Bacterial small subunit ribosomal RNA", at positions 29 to 507 of the family's 1533-position model. The record is from RNAcentral.
AACGAACGCUGGCGGCAUGCCUAACACAUGCAAGUCGAACGAAACCUUCGGGUCUAUUGUCGCACGGGGUCGUCACGCGUGGGAACCUGCCCUUAUGUUCGGCAUAACUCCCCGACAGGGGUGCUAAUACCGGAUAAUGUCUUCGGACCAAAGAUUUAUCGCCUUUGGUGGUGCCCGAGUUGGAUUAGCUUGUUGGUAGGGUAAAAGACGAUCACGGGGACGAUUCAUAGCUGGUAUGUGAGGAAGAUCAGCCACACUGGGACUAAGAAACGGCCGAGAAUCUUACGGGAGGGAGGAGUGGGGAAUAGUGGAAAAUGGGCGAAAGGAUGAUCCAGCACGGACGCGAGAGUGAUGAAGGCAUUAGGGUUGUAAAGCGCUUGUAACCGGGAUGAUAAUGACAGUACCGGGAGAAUAAGCCACGGCUAACUACGUG